Molecule: ribosomal RNA, 466 nt
Filed under: Clavicipitaceae sp. TKF 2
Lineage: Eukaryota; Fungi; Ascomycota; Sordariomycetes; Hypocreales; Clavicipitaceae
Description: eukaryotic LSU rRNA
Rfam family: Eukaryotic large subunit ribosomal RNA
Source: RNAcentral
UCUGGCCCCCAGGGCCCGAGUUGUAAUUUGCAGAGGAUGCUUUUGGCGCGGUGCCUUCCGAGUUCCCUGGAACGGGACGCCAUAGAGGGUGAGAGCCCCGUCUGGUCGGACGCCUAGCCCUGUGUAAAGCUCCUUCGACGAGUCGAGUAGUUUGGGAAUGCUGCUCUAAAUGGGAGGUAUAUGUCUUCUAAAGCUAAAUACCGGCCAGAGACCGAUAGCGCACAAGUAGAGUGAUCGAAAGAUGAAAAGCACUUUGAAAAGAGGGUUAAAUAGUACGUGAAAUUGUUGAAAGGGAAGCGCUUGUGACCAGACUUGGGCCCGGUGGAUCAUCCAGCGUUCUCGCUGGUGCACUCCGCCGGGUUCAGGCCAGCAUCAGUUCGCCGCGGGGGAAAAAGGCUUCGGGAACGUGGCUCCUACGGGAGUGUUAUAGCCCGUUGCAUAAUACCCUGGGGCGGACUGAGGUUCG